Molecule: long non-coding RNA, 2428 nt
Organism: Monopterus albus (swamp eel)
Lineage: Eukaryota; Metazoa; Chordata; Actinopteri; Synbranchiformes; Synbranchidae
Exons: 3
Source: RefSeq, a predicted model, not a curated record
UGUAACUGGGUGAGAAAAGAGAGAUGAAAAAAGUUUAAGCAGAUGCAAAAUAUGUAGAGUAUAUGGACUGUAUCUUAGAUAGUCAACUCGAGGAUCUGCUUAAGAUAUUUGUCCCACAUAGUUUGUAGUACAGGACUGGAUAUUCUAAUGCAUGGAGUUGCUGUUGUGUAGUGUUAUCGUGUCUAGCUUUGUAGCAUAACUACCUAACUUGUUAGCAUUCGUUAGCUAAAUGAUUGUUGGUAUCGGUAGUAUAGCUAACUCGGCUUACUCCCAAGACUGGAUUCAUCCUUUCCGACCUGGAACUCAUGGACAUUAUCAGAGACAGUGCUACGUGAGCGACCGGUUGGAUGGUACGACAGAGCCAUCGAACCUUCCCGCUACUGGUUGCACCUGGACCUGGGGGCCUGUCACUACUUCGCCAUUGGAUGGCUUUUAGGACCCUUUUGCUAUUUGGUUUGGACACACGGAGGAGGUAACGCUUCAGUGUCUGGAGUACGAACUACAAACGGCCCCUGUCUGUUUCCUGGUGGUGUCUGGGAGCCCAGGUCUAUAAGGCACCAGGAUCAUUUUCCCUUUGUUGCUGUUGUCACUAGCAUGGAGCCAGCUAAUUCAUCUUGCUAAUGGCAGGUACAGAGAUGGAUGUAGGCCAGGCGCUGCAGCCUGGUGAGACUCCCCUGUGUGCAGCUCAGAACACCUGUCCCGCUGUGCGUCGGCUACCCCAAUCUUUACCAGGCCAAGGAGGAGCACCAUCUCUCUCCAUAACACUUUCUCCUACCCAAUGUCUAGCGGGACCCUGAAGAAGCUGGAUGUGGAGGAGCCUAGGGACCGGUGUUCGCUGGGAGAUCUGCCCCCCAAAACUGCAUUUCCUAACCAGAAAUCAAAUUACAAGCUGCUGAUGUGGAGGAAAACUGACUAUUAAUAUUUUAGUAUGGAUAAUGCAUGCCAGACAUUGCCACCUCUGAGUAUUCAGAAAUGAAUGGAAAAAGAAAAAAAGACCGUGACGCACCAACAAGUGCCUGUCUGUGCUGCUUCUACCACACCACUACUAUCUAACAAAGCCACCACUGAAUGAGGCAGCAAAAUCUAAGCAAACUAAUGAUGCAAACUUGGAAUCAAUAGUCAGGCCACAUGUGCUGCUGCUGACAAACCAUGAGUACUGUAAUACCAGGUACAGUAACUCUAGAUUUCAUGACUUAGAAUUGCUCAGUGAAACAAUGGAACAAUUAAGUGCUUCUUUAUGGAUUGAAGAAAUGCUCAUGCUUCUAAAGCUAAAGAAGUCAUUUUAAAAGCCACUGCACUGGUCAAAGCAUGACUUGUUACACAGAUGAAAACAAAAAAUGUUUUAUUAGCUCGUGAGAAGUGUUUGUUUUCACAGGACAGCAACAAUAACUCAUUUCACUGGCUAUUAACCUAACACAAUAAGAGGGUUGUCUUUAAUUAUUAUUUUGUUAUUUCUUAUAAUAUCAAGAAUCUACACUGAAUGGCCACUUUAUUAGGUACAGCACACCUGUACUGCUAUCACCUGCCUUCUAAAAGGCACUGAGAUGUUUGUAAUAUGCUGUCACUUCAUGGAUCUAAAUGCAAAGGACAAAUAAUUAGAUAAACUCCUUUAUGUAAUGUAGUCUAAUACAAAAUCACAUUUAACUAUGAAAAGCAUAUAAUUGAAUUUACACAUUCCUGGCAAUGUCACUGAUAACCGAACAUUACAAAGUUAGGCUUCAUGAGCUGUUAAAUUGACUUGCAAUAUAUUGUACAGGUGUAGCUGCAACCACUGAGUGCAUAUGGCAUUACAUAAUGUGUCAGUCUUGAUGUACAGUUAUUUUGAUUUUAUAAAUUCCUUUUAGAUUGUCUGUUAUCAUCAGUCUUUUUCAUACAGGGAACAAAUCAUUACAGGUGACAAGAAAUAGGCUUCGAAAAUUCAGCACCCAGGACCUUUAUUUUGUUUCGGUGAUGGCCUGUCCAACAGAAAGCAUUAUCAUGAAUGCUAAUGUUAUCUCAGGUUCUGCACCUACUGCUAAUGCACUGCAUUUGUAGGUAUUUACUAUUGUAUAUAGCCCCCUCUGCAUCUCGUAUCACCCUCCUGCUUCUUCUCAUCUCCAGCUUUCUAACCUCCAUCUUCCCUGCCCCUCCGCCACCCGUGCAUCCAUCAGAGCGCUGUCAUGGUAGAGGGGCUUUCAAUGCUCCUUCCUGAUGCGGCCAUCAAGGCCUUCCAUCUAACACAAGCCGACACAUCAUAAUAACAGUAAGAGGCCUUUCCUGUCCAGUGUCAUGCUUGGAGAGAUUAGUUCCCCUCCACAAAACCCAGAUAAUUUGCUUUUGCUGAAACACAUUUGUAGAUCAUAUUCUUUCAGGUUAACUAGUUCAUGAGAGGAGAGGAGACACUUGCUGCACAGUGUUUGUUCAGCUUUUGUUACAUGUACCUGGUGUG